UACGGAGGGUGCGAGCGUUGUCCGGAAUCACUGGGCGUAAAGGGCGCGUAGGCGGCUUCUCAAGCGUGCGGUGAAAGCUCGGGGCUUAACUCCGAGUCUGCCGUGCGAACUGGGAGGCUUGAGUCUGGUAGAGGUCGAUGGAAUUCCGGGUGUAGCGGUGGAAUGCGUAGAUAUCGGAAGGAACAUCAGUGGCGAAAGCGGCUUCCUGGACCAGUACCGACGUUCAGGCACGAAAGCGUGGGGAGCAAACAGG
This 253-nucleotide ribosomal RNA is filed under the name uncultured bacterium. Its description in RNAcentral is "partial 16S ribosomal RNA". It matches the Rfam family "Bacterial small subunit ribosomal RNA", at positions 524 to 776 of the family's 1533-position model. The record is from RNAcentral.